Molecule: ribosomal RNA, 377 nt
Filed under: uncultured bacterium
Lineage: Bacteria
Description: bacterial SSU rRNA
Rfam family: Bacterial small subunit ribosomal RNA
Source: RNAcentral
UACGAAGGUGGCAAGCGUUGUUCGGAAUCACUGGGCUUAAAGAGCACGUAGGCGGCCCAUCAAGUACUUUGUGAAAUCCCCCGGCUCAACCGGGGAAUUGCUUGGUAUACUGUUCGGGCUUGAGGCAGGUAGGGGCGUGUGGAACUCUUGGUGGAGCGGUGGAAUGCGUAGAUAUCAAGAGGAACGCCGGAGGCGAAAGCGAUGCGCUGGGCCUGUCCUGACGCUGAGGUGCGAAAGCCAGGGGAGCAAACGGGAUUAGAUACCCCGGUAGUCCUGGCCCUAAACGAUGUCUACUAGGUCGGAGUCACUCUGACGUGUUUCUGGCCGAAACAAAAGCGUUAAGUAGACCGCCUGGGGAGUACGGUCGCAAGGCUAAA